This 490-nucleotide ribosomal RNA is filed under the name uncultured bacterium. Its description in RNAcentral is "partial 16S ribosomal RNA". It matches the Rfam family "Bacterial small subunit ribosomal RNA", at positions 29 to 506 of the family's 1533-position model. The record is from RNAcentral.
UUGAACGCUGGCGGCAUGCUUUACACAUGCAAGUCGAGCGGUAACAGGCCUUCGGGUGCUGACGAGUGGCGAACGGGUGAGUAAUGCAUCGGAACGUACCCAGAGGUGGGGGAUAACGCAGCGAAAGCUGUGCUAAUACCGCAUGUGAUCUGAGGAUGAAAGCGGGGGACCGAGCAGCAAUGUUUGGCCUCGCGCCUUUGGAGCGGCCGAUGUCGGAUUAGCUAGUUGGUGGGGUAAAGGCCUACCAAGGCGACGAUCCGUAGCUGGUCUGAGAGGACGACCAGCCACACUGGGACUGAGACACGGCCCAGACUCCUACGGGAGGCAGCAGUGGGGAAUUUUGGACAAUGGGCGCAAGCCUGAUCCAGCAAUGCCGCGUGCGGGAAGAAGGCCUUCGGGUUGUAAACCGCUUUUGGCAGGAACGAAACGGUGUCCGCUAAUACCGGGCGCUAAUGACGGUACCUGCAGAAUAAGCACCGGCUAACUACGU